RNAcentral lists this ribosomal RNA (1485 nucleotides) under Gordonia sp. M1 5-1. Its description in RNAcentral is "partial 16S ribosomal RNA". It matches the Rfam family "Bacterial small subunit ribosomal RNA". Lineage: Bacteria; Bacillati; Actinomycetota; Actinomycetes; Mycobacteriales; Gordoniaceae. The record is from RNAcentral.
UGGGCGGGAUGCUACCAUGCAGUCGAGCGGAAGGCCCUGCUUGCACGGUGCUCGAGUGGCGAACGGGUGAGUAACACGUGGGUGAUCUGCCCCUGACUUUGGGAUAAGCCUGGGAAAGUGGGUCUAAUACCGGAUAUGACCAAGGAUUGCAUGGUUCUUGGUGGAAAGCUUUUGCGGUUGGGGAUGGGCCCGCGGCCUAUCAGCUUGUUGGUGGGGUAAUGGCCUACCAAGGCUGACGACGGGGAGCCGACCUGAGAGGGUGAUCGUGAACCACACUGGGACUGAGAUCGUACGGCGCCAGACUCCUACGGGAGAUGCAGCAGUGGGGAAUAUUGCACAUAGUGGGCGCACCACGCCUGAUGCAGCGACGCCGUCGUGAGGGAUGACGGCCUGUCGGGUAUGUAAACCUCAUUUCUUCAGGGACGAAUGCGCGAGUGUCGGUGAGAGUGCCUGAACAAAAAGCACCGGCCCAACUACGUGCCCUCAGCCCGCGCUAAUACAUAAAGGCGCGAGCGUUGUCCGGAAUUACUGGGCGUAAAGAGCUCGUAGGCGGUUUGUCGCGUCGUCCUGUGAGAUUCUGCAGCUUAACUGCAGCGCGUGCAGGCGAUACAGGCAGACUUGAGUACUACAGGGGAGACUGGAAUUCUUCGAUGUGGCGGUGAAAUGCGCAGAUAUCAGGAGAGAACACCGCUGUCGAAGGGGGGUCUCUGGGUAGUAACUGACGCUGAGGAGCGAAAGAGUGGGUAGCGAACACGAUUAGAUACCCUGGUAGUCCACCCCCGUAAACGGUGGGUACUAGGUGUGGGUUCCAUUUCACGGGAUCCGUGCCGUAGAUAACGCAUUAAGUACACUCGCCUGGGGAGUACAGCCGCAAGGCUAAAACUCAAAGGAAUUGACGGGGGGCCCGCACAAGCAGGCGGAGCAUGUGGAUUAAUUUCGAUGCAACGCGACAGAACCUUACCUGGGUCUGACAUACACCAGCACGCCAGCAGAGAUGUUGGUUCCCUUGUGGUUGGUCGUACUAGGUGGUGCAUGAGCUGUCGUCAGCUCGUCGUCGUGAGAUGAUUGGGCUUAAGUCCCGCAACGAGCGCAACCCUCUGUCCUGUAUUAGUCCAGCGGGUUAUGCCGCGGAGACUUGCAGGAGACUGCCGGGGUCAACUCGGAGGAAGGUGGGGAGGAAGUCAAGUCAUCAUGUCACCUUAUGUCCAGGAGCUUGCACACACUGCUUCAAUUGCACCGGUGACCAUGAGUGGCUGCGAUACCGUGAGGUGGAGGGAAUCCAUUAAAGAAAGUCUCAGUUAGUAUGGGGGUCUGCAACUAGAUCCCGUGAAGUAGGAGUGAAUAGUAAUUGCAGAUCAGCAACGAUGCGGCGAAUACGUUGUUCGGGCGGCGUACACACCGCCGCGUCGUCGUCAUGAAAGUAGGUAACACCACGAAGACACUGUGGCGCAUAACCCCGUAAGGAGGCAGCUUCGAAUGGGAUUG